UACGGAGGGUGCAAGCGUUAUCCGGAUUCACUGGGUUUAAAGGGUGUGUAGGCGGAUAUUUAAGUCAGUGGUGAAAUCUCUGGGCUCAACCCAGAAACUGCCAUUGAUACUAUUUAUCUUGAAUUCUGUUGAGGUGGGCGGAAUACAUCAUGUAGCGGUGAAAUGCUUAGAUAUGAUGUAGAACACCGAUUGCGAAGGCAGCUCACUAAACAGCGAUUGACGCUGAGGCGCGAAAGCGUGGGGAGCAAACAGG
RNAcentral lists this ribosomal RNA (253 nucleotides) under uncultured bacterium. RNAcentral describes it as "partial 16S ribosomal RNA". It matches the Rfam family "Bacterial small subunit ribosomal RNA", at positions 524 to 776 of the family's 1533-position model. The record is from RNAcentral.